CUACGGGGGCGGGGGGCCCGGGGGUCCCAGCUGCGUGGAUGCUGCUCCCGCCGGGGCACCAAAAACCCGCGAAAGGUUGCUCACGUCUCCUGCUCCCUGGGCGCGCCGCGGGUAGCAGUGAGCAGGGAUCCGCGCGCGGCGGCGAGAAGAGCCGGAAGCCUGGGCAUCCCUCGCUCUCCCGCCCCGCCGGCCGCACGAGCGCCCUGGGCCCUGGCGACAGAACGGGGAGGCUGCGCUUUCUCUGCCCCCUGGGUCUGGCCAGCAAGUCCAGGUCAGGGUGAGCCCUGCUUGGCCCGAGGUGUGGGGGUCUGAGCGCCGAGUGGGAGCACGGGGUUCCAGGGUGAGCCCCGGAGAACGUCCGGGACCGGUCACUGACCCGGCGGUGGGGUGGGAUCCCGUUAUCAGACUGCAGGGUGUGCGGGGGGUGGGGAGCAGCGGGGGGCGUGGGGAGAAAGGGUGUAAGGGAGGCUCUGUUCGGGGAGAUGUGGGUGGCCACGCCCGAGUUUGCCGGGCGGACGGUGGCACCAGGCAGAGCGGGCCCCGGAGCUGGUCGCCCAGACUGCACCCUCACCCAAAGUCCCAGCGAGACCUGCCGGGUCCUAACCCGGGUGCAGCAUGCUUGGCGCGCCGAGAGCUGUUAGUGGGCAGAGCACUGGAGGAGAAAGUGUUUCUGCGGUGCCUCUGGCUCCUUCCGUCCGAGACUGCAGGGAACCUCUCCCCGGGAAUGGUGAACUCUCCGGUUUUACAACCGAGACCUUCAAACAGGAACGGUCUUUUAGGGCAGUACACGUGAAUAAUUCACUAAGAGAAGAGAUGGGUUCCUAUCAACCCACCGUGCCACACGGGCCCUCAGAGUACUUCCUGCGUGCCCUACAUAGGAUUUUUCCAUCUGUCACAACAUUGGACCGUGACACAUUUAUCCAAACGGAAGAAAAAAGAGAGAGAAAAAUUCCGCUCGUGUCAACCAGUCCAACUUUUCUGACAAUUGGAAGAGUAAACGUUAGCAGAUGCCAGGGCAAACCCAUUUAUACUGCAAGACGCAUUUUAGGGGCCAGUGCUGAGAGCCAGGACGAUACCUUUUAAUCCAGGAGGACACUUAAGAGCAGACUAAGCCAGUUUCCCCCUGGUUACUGCCCUAAUAAAGGGCGGCGGAAAAGCCCAGGGUCUGAUUACCACCCGCUCCCAUGGCUGCAGGAAAGAGAUCACGGGAUUUCAGGGAGCAAAGUCCUCAAAAAGCAUAUAGUGUGGCUUCCACACCUCAAGCAGCUGGAAAAGUGGACUGGAAAACAGGAAGAAAACACUUUGUAAACGUCAGUAGUUGCCUCACAGAUGAACAUUCUUUCAGCAGCAGAGUCAUUCGCUUUCGUUCUCACCCUUGAACCCUGACUGCACAUCCUUUAGAAACCUUUUAAGCCAGUUAGCCACGCCCCCACCCCCGAGCACAGCAUGUCUGGGCAGAAGCAGAAGGUCUGCGUUACUGAGCUACCCUCCCCUUGUCCAGAAGUCCUGGGUCCCAUGCCCACGCAGCACCCUGUGCAACACGCCACUGAUCUUCUCUCGUCUGUGUCCCUGACCGGGUCUGGAGCGCCUUGAAGGUGAGGACUGUGUUGCCUAGCAAAGUGCACUUAGGAACCCUUUGCAUUUAACCCUUAGUUCUGCUCAAUAAAUGUUUACUACAUUCUAGGGAAUAAGAAAACUGCCUGAGGACUCGCCCCAGGUUAAUUUCUAAGAGUGUUCUCCUUACUGAACUAGGUUAAUAUAUAGUUAUUGUAGCUCACUUUAGUCAAGUAUGCCAAACAGUAAACAUAAACUUCCAAAAGGGGAGGAGAAGAAAACAUACCUAUUUCCAGUGAUGAUGCCAAAAGAAAUGGUUCCCACACAGCUCUGCUUCCACGCAGCCUGGAAACCAGGUUUAGCUACAUUCCUAUUUCCUAAAGUCAAUAGAACGUCACUCCUCUAACACAAUUUAUUUUUUUCCCCAAAAGAUAAAUGUUGAAAACAGAGAAUUCAAAAUAGUGGUGGUACUUUGUAUGCUCCAAACCAGUGUUUCACAAGGUAUGGAGGGGGAGGGGAGCCAUAGUGGAAUCCCCUGAGGUACCUGCUUAAAAUGCCUAAUUAGGGCCUGAACUGUAAUGAAUCAGUCUCGGGGGUGUGUCUGGGGUCUGGAUUUUUAAAAAAUAUUUAUUUAUUUGGCUGCCCCGGGUCUUGAGUUGCACCAUACAGGAUCUUCGUUGCAGCACGUGGGAUCUUUAGUUGUGGCAUGUGGGAUGUACUUCCCCAUCCAGGGACCUAACCCCAGCCCCCUGCAUUGGGAGCGCAGGAGUCUUACCCACUGGACCACCAGGGAGGCCUUCUGUACUAGACUGGUCGAUAGAAAGGACUGCUGACCUCAACACCCGCAAGAGAAAAAGACAACAGCAGUGGUAGACAGCGACCCAAGAAUCUGGAGCAGGAUAGAAAGGAAAUUCUCCAGCGAAGCUGAAUAACUACUCACGAUGUGUAUCACUGCUUGCUACUGAAAGGUCUGCAAACAAAAAAGGGAAGAUGAUGGAGGAAACUUUCACGUAUUGAGCUUCCUGGGAAAGAAAAAUUCCUGUGACUUGAACUGCGGAAAGACAGAAGUUAUCACAGAUGUCACAUGGCUCAGGGUGGAGCCAAGGAAAUCAAGAAAAAUGCCGCCUCAGAGCCACUGGAUGACUGCUCCUGGGACUGACUGGAUCCUGUAAUCACACGACAUUUGGAUUAGAGAGACGCAGAACGCCUCUCUGACACUCCCCGUGCAGCUCUGAAUCCCACUGUCUUCCCUGGCGGUCUGCCAGUCUACCCUCAGUGCAGCUGAGCUGGCUAAGAGCAGAGCACAAAGACUACUUGUUCCCAACUCCUCCUCCCCUCUUCUCGGGAGCAGGGCAGCAGGCGAGAGCUGGGACGAGCCAGAGCCCACACCAGUCCUCCGGCUCCCCGUCCACGCCAGGAGGCCACUUGCAGGCACCGUGGGCCUCCUCCUGCAGACAUGCAGAAACCCACAGGCACCCAGAGCUUUGCUACUGCUGUUGUCACAGGGCCGAAGAGCUUCAAGGCCUGGGGGUGCCCAGGGCACAGCACAGUCACCUGCAUACCCUAGGAUGGGACACUAAAGAACACUCAUGGCAAGGGGUUGACAUCAUCUCUAUGAUUCAAUUAUUUAGGACUUUCCUCCAUCUUAACCUCAUGCCAAAAAGAACGAGAAAUUUUGAAAGUACAAAUGAGGAGCACGUUUUAGUAGCUAAGAUUUGUUGAACAUCUAUUAUGUGCCAGGCACUGUGCUUAUUGUCUUUGCAUAUACGUACCGUCUUAACUCUAAACAACAGUCUAUGAGAUAAGUAACACUCCUCUAUAUCCAUUUUACAGAUGAGGAAUAAAGCUCAGAGAGGUUAAGUAAUUUGUUAACCAAGGUCUCAUAACCAGUAAAACCAGGACCGAGGAUUCAAACCUGGACUAUCUGACUUUCAAGCCUCUGGUACCUUGCCUGCAGAAAUGCAUAAGGAAAUGGAGGCAAAAGAAAAACGGCAUGACAGCCAUAGAAAAGAAUGAAAUAAUGCCAUCCACAGCAACAUGGAUGGACCUAGAGAUUGUCAUACUAAGUGAAGUCAGACAAAGACAAAUACU
Molecule: long non-coding RNA, 3645 nt
Organism: Aethalodelphis obliquidens (Pacific white-sided dolphin)
Lineage: Eukaryota; Metazoa; Chordata; Mammalia; Artiodactyla; Delphinidae
Exons: 7
Source: RefSeq, a predicted model, not a curated record